Molecule: non-coding RNA, 170 nt
Filed under: human gut metagenome
Description: Lysine riboswitch
Rfam family: Lysine riboswitch aptamer
About the family: Riboswitches are metabolite binding domains within certain messenger RNAs that serve as precision sensors for their corresponding targets. Allosteric rearrangement of mRNA structure is mediated by ligand binding, and this results in modulation of gene expression.
Source: RNAcentral
GAUAGAGGUUGCGGAUAUGAAUAGUACUCCGACAUUUGAGCCGCGGCAAACGGCAAUCGGAGGAAAGGCUGUUCCGCCGAAGCGAAUUUUCCGGUUUGCCGCCGUUAUUCUGCUGGGUCUGCGCUUAACAGGCGCAGAACUGUCACAUACCUCGUAUGUGGAGAACUAUC